RNAcentral lists this long non-coding RNA (733 nucleotides) under Polistes fuscatus (common paper wasp). RNAcentral describes it as "uncharacterized LOC122518661". Lineage: Eukaryota; Metazoa; Arthropoda; Insecta; Hymenoptera; Vespidae. The record is from RNAcentral.
AAUCGGUCAUCUCUUACGACGAUGACACAGUCUAACUUUGUUUUUCGUAUUCUUUACAAUCGAUCGAACACAAUUUUAUAUACACGAUAUAUAUAUAAAUAUUUGUAUAAUAUUUAUAUAACAUAGAAAUUAUUUUAUUAUAUUAUAUUAUUAUAUAUUGCAAUAGCUGCACGCGCAUAGAUUGAAAUUUCGUCUUAUUUACCUAAAACAAUUGUUACUAAUAUAAUUAAACCGUGUUAAUCUUUUUCUUUUCAUUUUAUGUUUCUACAUUACGCGAUACCUUCCUACAAAUCCUAUUCAAACAAAUACCUUUAUAACUCCCUAUAUAAAUUGCAAAAAGAUCAUCCCAACGUUAUCUCGUAAAUCGUAAAUAAAAAGUCUAACAAAAAGAAAAAAAACAAACAAACAAAUAAAAACAUUUCUAUUCGUAAUAAAUACGUUCUACGCAAUUCUCUUCUGUAGGAGUUUCGACAAGAAAGAUUCGUCGGGUUCGUAUUCGCGUUUUGUAGUCAAAGGGAUAUCGUAAACAAGGAAUAGUAGUGGCUAAGAGUAAACAGGAUCCGCAUCCAAUCGGGACGCCCGUCGCCGCCGACACCGCUGCUUAACACAUGCGAAGAACGACGAAAGAGACGCCACCUUGGCGAUGGAAACGCUUCUUCUUCGGCUUGCCCAGAGAGAAGUUCAAAUGAGAACGAGAAUGACGAGCAGACUGAGGAGGGGAUGUGUGAACAAA